RNAcentral lists this transfer RNA (63 nucleotides) under Paragonimus westermani. Its description in RNAcentral is "tRNA-Tyr". The record is from RNAcentral. Lineage: Eukaryota; Metazoa; Platyhelminthes; Trematoda; Plagiorchiida; Troglotrematidae.
ACCGGCUUGGUAUAGGUUAAGUACGUGAGAUUGUAAAUCUUGAGGGGGGAUUUCCAGUCGGAG